This 845-nucleotide long non-coding RNA is filed under the name Zostera marina. RNAcentral's name for it is "long non-coding RNA (ZMAR_LNC002072)". The record is from RNAcentral. Lineage: Eukaryota; Viridiplantae; Streptophyta; Magnoliopsida; Alismatales; Zosteraceae.
AAAUAAGCUAGAUUAGAUUUCAAUUGCAGCCCCCCACGCCUCCUCUUCCCUCUUUUCGUCAUCUAACUAACUGAUGCUGCUGUGAUCGUGAUCGCAUCCGUGUUCUUGCUCUUUCUUCCUCUCCAGUCGUUCAAUUGCAGUCUUCCAGCUCACCUCCUAUUUUCGUAUCCUGUUCUUGCUCCUUCCUCUCCGAUCAUUUGUGUUACCCCUGAGUUAGUCAUCAAAUCGGUCAGAGUUUUUUUCACUCUGAUUCUUAUUUAUUUUGAUAGUCUGUGGAUUAAUCAUCAUUUAAAUGUUAUCUAUGGGAAUUGAAAAAUAAAAAAAUGCACCAUCAUAUUCCUUUUAUAGUUCGAUUCCUUAUAUUUAAUAAUCUGUUGAUCGAUCAGUUUUCAAGUGUCAUUAGUUUUUUUUAUCUCCAGUUUCAGCAAUGGAAAAAAAUUCAAGAAAUGUAAGUUGAAAACACAAUAAGACAUUAUCAGUUCUCUGCCUGAAGAGGUCCUAAACAAAAUUCUUGGGAACUUGCCUAUAAAAGAUGCCAUAGAAACGAUCUUUUUGUCAAAGGAAUGGAGAUACAAGUGGAGAUCGAUGUCAGAUCUUAUAUUUGAUAGCGAUUUAUUUUUCACUCCAAAUGAUGAGGAACCAUUUAUAUUGAUGAUACUAUAUUUGAUUAAAGUUAUGGAAUUUCUUUUUCUUCACAGAGGUAAUAUUCGAACGUUUCAAUUUAACAGCAUAUGGGAAAUCAUUUCCUCCAAAUUGGAUAUAUGGAUGGAUUAUUUGAUCAAUUCUUAUAUUCAGCAACUUAAAUUGACAUUUGCUAUCGAGUAUUUGAUCCCUUUUUCAGUCUU